UGUUUCUUUAAUUUUUAUAGAAUAAUUUGUUUAUUUAUUCUAUUUAUUCUAAAAAUAUUUGGUUUGUUUAAUUCUGUAUGUUUUAAAAGGUCUAUUUUUUGAUUUUUUAGGUAUAAAAGUUUUAUUCUUGCUUAAAUAUUUGCUUUAUUUUUAUUUUAUAUACUAGUUUUGAACACUAAAUGUUUCGUUUAUGUAGUAAUUAUAUUUAAUAAUCUCAAGUUAUUUUGGAAUUAGGAAUUGAUGAAGUUUUGACAAAUUUUGUGCCAGCAGUCGCGGUUAUACAAUUAAUGCAAGUAAAUAUUUUUGAUUUUAUAGACAAUAGUAGAUUUUUGGAUGUUAAUUUAAUUUAUUUGAGGUGAAAUUUUUAAAUUAUUUUAUAUUCUUUAUUUUGAUUCUGUGAAAAUUAAAUUAUAAACUAGGAUUAGAUACCCUAUUAUUUUAAUUGUAAAUUUUUAAUAUUGGAAUAUUAAUAGUUAAUUUCUUUAAAUUCAAAGAAUUUGGCGGCAUUUCAUUCUAUUCAGAGGAACCUACCCCGUAAUUGAUAAUACACGAUUGGUGUUACUUAAUUUUUUUUUGUAUAUCUCCGUUAUCAGGAAGUCUUUUUAGAGUUAUAAAAUUUUCGUAAUUUUUAAUUAAGAAUUAUUUCAGGUCAAGGUGCAGUUUAUAAUUAAGAGGAGGCGGGUUACAAUAAUUUUAUUUUUUCGGUUUUAUUUAUGAAAAUUUAUAAUUAAGUUGGAUUUGAAAGUAAUUUGUUUAACAUUAUUCAUUUGAAUUGGGCUCUGAGGUGUGUACAUAUCGCCCGUCGCUCUCAUUAUUUAUUUAAUUUAUAGAAUAUAUUUAAGGUGAGAUAAGUCGUAACAAAGUAGGUGUACUGGAAAGUGUAUCUAGAAAGAAUU
RNAcentral lists this non-coding RNA (896 nucleotides) under Ochrophlegma sp. TAMUIC IGC OR279. Lineage: Eukaryota; Metazoa; Arthropoda; Insecta; Orthoptera; Pyrgomorphidae. The record is from RNAcentral.